Molecule: non-coding RNA, 308 nt
Organism: Chloroflexi bacterium RBG_13_68_17
Lineage: Bacteria; Bacillati; Chloroflexota
Source: Rfam
CUAACGGAGAGUUUGAUCCUGGCUCAGGAUGAACGCUAGCGGCGUGCCUGAUACAUGCAAGUCGAACGAGGGCGUCUUUGUAGCAAUACAGGGGCGUUCUAGUGGCGAAUGGGUGAGUAACACGUUGGUGACCUGCCCCGAAGAGGGGGAUAACACCGCGAAAGUGGUGCUAAUACCCCAUGUGAUCCCGGGAGUUAGAUCGCCCGGGUUGAAAGGCGCAAGCCGCUUCGGGAGGGGCCUGCGGCCCAUCAGCUUGUUGGUAGGGUAACGGCCUACCAAGGCGACGACGGGUAGGGGGCCUGAGAGGG